Molecule: transfer RNA, 77 nt
Filed under: Yersinia ruckeri
Lineage: Bacteria; Pseudomonadati; Pseudomonadota; Gammaproteobacteria; Enterobacterales; Yersiniaceae
Description: tRNA-Met
Rfam family: tRNA
About the family: Transfer RNA (tRNA) molecules are approximately 80 nucleotides in length. Their secondary structure includes four short double-helical elements and three loops (D, anti-codon, and T loops). Further hydrogen bonds mediate the characteristic L-shaped molecular structure. tRNAs have two regions of fundamental functional importance: the anti-codon, which is responsible for specific mRNA codon recognition, and the 3' end, to which the tRNAs corresponding amino acid is attached (by aminoacyl-tRNA synthetases). tRNAs cope with the degeneracy of the genetic code in two manners: having more than one tRNA (with a specific anti-codon) for a particular amino acid; and 'wobble' base-pairing, i.e. permitting non-standard base-pairing at the 3rd anti-codon position.
Source: RNAcentral
CGCGGGGUGGAGCAGCCUGGUAGCUCGUCGGGCUCAUAACCCGAAGGUCGUCGGUUCAAAUCCGGCCCGAGCAACAA